RNAcentral lists this unclassified non-coding RNA (378 nucleotides) under plant metagenome. Its description in RNAcentral is "partial contains 5.8S ribosomal RNA, internal transcribed spacer 2, and large subunit ribosomal RNA". The stretch from base 1 to 105 matches the Rfam family "5.8S ribosomal RNA", at positions 50 to 154 of the family's 154-position model. The record is from RNAcentral.
GAAAUGCGAUAAGUAAUGUGAAUUGCAGAAUUCAGUGAAUCAUCGAAUCUUUGAACGCACCUUGCGCUCCUUGGUAUUCCUUGGAGCAUGCCUGUUUGAGUAUCAUGAAAUCUUCAAAGUAAAUCUUUUGUUAACUCAAUUGGUUUCUACUUUGGUAUUGGAGGUCUUUGCAGCUUCACACCUGCUCCUCUUUGUUCAUUAGCUGGAUCUCAGUGUUAUGCUUGGUUCCACUCGUCGUGAUAAGUUAUCUAUCGCUGAGGACACUGUAAAAGGUGGCCAAGGUAAAUGCAGAUGAACCGCUUCUAAUAGUCCAUUGACUUGGACAAUACUUUUAUGAUCUGAUCUCAAAUCAGGUAGUACUACCCGCUGAACUUAAGC